Molecule: ribosomal RNA, 329 nt
Filed under: uncultured eukaryote
Lineage: Eukaryota
Description: partial 18S ribosomal RNA
Rfam family: Eukaryotic small subunit ribosomal RNA
Source: RNAcentral
CCCUUAGAUGUUCUGGGCCGCACGCGCGCUACACUGAUGCAUUCAACGAGUCUAAAACCUGCUCUGAUAGGGGUGGGUAAUCUUUUGAAUGUGCAUCGUGAUUGGGAUAGAUGAUUGCAAUUUUUCAUCUUCAACGAGGAAUGCCUAGUAAACGCAAGUCAUCAGCUUGCAUUGAUUACGUCCCUGCCCUUUGUACACACCGCCCGUCGCUCCUACCGAUUGAAUGAUCCGAUGAAUAUCAUGGAUUGAGGAUGCAAGCAGGUUCGCCUGUCUUCAUCUUCGAGAAGUGAAGUAAAUCUUAUCAUUUAGAGGAAGGAGAAGUCGCAACA